Long non-coding RNA from Phyllostomus discolor (pale spear-nosed bat), 1212 nucleotides. RefSeq lists it as uncharacterized. The record is from RefSeq and is a predicted model, not a curated record. Lineage: Eukaryota; Metazoa; Chordata; Mammalia; Chiroptera; Phyllostomidae. The transcript is spliced from 3 exons.
CUGGACCCUGGCGCCCCUCCCACAGGCGGCGGGACUCCGUGUGGCCGGCCCCGGGGAGCUCAGGGAUAGGGAGCGAAAGGGGGCCGGGAUGCCAAGCCCAGCGUCCAGAACGCGAGGCUCCCACAGCCCUCCUGCCAGCUCCCUUUGCUCUCACAACCCUAAGCUCCGCUCCAGGGGACGGAGACCCCACCCCCCGGAUGAAGCGCUGUGGGAACGGCGCCACGAUCCCAUACCAGGGAGGAGGAGCUCAACCGGGGCGUGACCCCGGGAGGCAAGGGGUAGUGGCAGGUUUGAGGUCUAAGGGUGACAGGCUGCCAGGACCCUAGAAAAGGUGCCGGUUCCGGCGGACCCUCGGACUCCCCAGGACACGGACGCCGGGGUCCCGGGAGGCUCACGCUGUCCAAGCCUGUGGCGGGGGUGCCCGCAGGGACUCGGACGCAAGGAUCCCCGGAGCCCCUAGACAUGACCGGGCACAGAAAAGACUCCACAAAGGUGCAACGAAUGAAUGAAUGAACAGGAAUGAAUGAAUGAAGAGGAAGAGGGGUACUUCCUCUUGCACUGUCACCGGAAGAGCACCCUAGCUCAUUAAAAGUCAGAAAAUGCAGGGCACAGGACAGCAAAGUGGCCAUGGUGUAUUUACCGAAAAAUUAUCGGCCAUCAUAAUGCUGAGCUCGUGGGCUGACUCACUCCUCAGCAGGAUCCGGGUUCCUCUGAAGUGGCAUCAGCCUGCCAGAGCCUCCACACGGGCUCCCCGAAGGGCUAGGGCGUGGCUGUAAAAUCCCUGCGCUCCCCAGUCAGAAAGGAGCCCAUCAGAGCCAAAGGAGCCAAGUCCAGAUCCCCCAGCUCAGAAACACCUGGCUGUGCCUGAGGAGUGUAUUGAAAGAGGCAGGUGUCGGGGCACCAUUCACUCAGCCAGUACUACCUCAAGUCCCUGUGCCCUCGGUUUCUUAUCAGUCGGAACACACACGUACCAUACGGCCAUCCCACCCCGAGGUAUUUACCCAAGACAAUGAGGCCACACGCAUGCACAGGCUUAUACACAAAUGCUCCUAGCCGCUCCAUUCACAGUAGCCAAAACCUGAGAAUUAUCAAAAUGUCCAUCAGCAGGAGAAGGGAGAAACAGAUUGCGAUUUACCUCCACGGUGGAGUACAAGUUGGCGAUGAAAAGGAACAAACUACUGAUUCAGGCACCAGCUUGGAGGGGGAAGCUCA